RNAcentral lists this transfer RNA (72 nucleotides) under Camelus bactrianus (Bactrian camel). It matches the Rfam family "tRNA". Rfam says of the family: Transfer RNA (tRNA) molecules are approximately 80 nucleotides in length. Their secondary structure includes four short double-helical elements and three loops (D, anti-codon, and T loops). RNAcentral also lists the same sequence under 2 other names. The record is from Rfam by way of RNAcentral. Lineage: Eukaryota; Metazoa; Chordata; Mammalia; Artiodactyla; Camelidae.
GAGGGUCUAGCUCAGUGGUAGAGCACGUGCUUAGCAUGCACAAAGUCCUGGGUUCAGUCCCCAGUACCUCCA